AGACUUGGCAGGGGAGAUAGCAUGAUCACAAAGGUGGUUUUUCCAGGGCCAGAUUUAUUCACUGCGCUCUGGAUGUGCUGACCCCUACGACUUCCACCCAAGGGGGAAGCUUGACUGCUUAGUUUGUUAUAGCAGGGGACUGUGUUCACACUUUCUCUGG
RNAcentral lists this small nuclear RNA (160 nucleotides) under Cercocebus atys (sooty mangabey). Its description in RNAcentral is "U1 spliceosomal RNA (ENSCATG00000015199.1)". It matches the Rfam family "U1 spliceosomal RNA". Rfam says of the family: U1 is a small nuclear RNA (snRNA) component of the spliceosome (involved in pre-mRNA splicing). Its 5' end forms complementary base pairs with the 5' splice junction, thus defining the 5' donor site of an intron. There are significant differences in sequence and secondary structure between metazoan and yeast U1 snRNAs, the latter being much longer (568 nucleotides as compared to 164 nucleotides in human). The record is from Rfam by way of RNAcentral. Lineage: Eukaryota; Metazoa; Chordata; Mammalia; Primates; Cercopithecidae.